This 296-nucleotide ribosomal RNA is filed under the name Testudo hermanni boettgeri. Its description in RNAcentral is "partial 12S ribosomal RNA". The record is from RNAcentral. Lineage: Eukaryota; Metazoa; Chordata; Testudines; Testudinidae.
CCCCUAGAGGAGCCUGUUCUAUAAUCGAUAAUCCACGAUCUACCUCACCAUCUCUUGCCAAUACCGCCUAUAUACCGCCGUCACCAGCCUACCCUAUGAAGGAUAUAAAAGUAGGCAAAAUCGCACAACAGCUAACAAGUCAGGUCAAGGUGUAGCUUACUGAGAUGGAAGAAAUGGGCUACAUUUUCUAAACUAGAAAUCAUUUCACGGAAAGAACUAUGAAACAAGUUCUAUAAGCAGGAUUUAGCAGUAAAUAGGGAGCAGAAUGCCCAAUUUAAGCCGGUCCUAAGGUACGC